Molecule: small nuclear RNA, 188 nt
Organism: Gracilinanus agilis (Agile Gracile Mouse Opossum)
Lineage: Eukaryota; Metazoa; Chordata; Mammalia; Didelphimorphia; Didelphidae
Product: U2 spliceosomal RNA
Exons: 1
Source: RefSeq, a predicted model, not a curated record
AUCAUUUCUUGGCUUUUUAGCUAAGAUCAAGUGUAGUACCAAAUUGCAAUUAGAGAUUUUCAAUAACUAGAUGUCCUAACGGGUCAAUACCAUGAUUAUUUCUAUUUCUGAACUAUAAUUAUUUUCCUAGGAAAAAAAAUGUACUUCUCAGGGCAACGAGGUGGCUCAGGGGAUAGAGAGCAAAGCCU